CAAAGAGGAAAGGACAGUGUGCUUGG
This 26-nucleotide non-coding RNA is filed under the name Cricetulus griseus (Chinese hamster). Lineage: Eukaryota; Metazoa; Chordata; Mammalia; Rodentia; Cricetidae. The record is from RNAcentral.